UGGUAAAGGGUUAUUUUCGUACAACGUUUUCGGCCUUUUUAUUUUACGUGUUUUCGUGUUUUGACGUUUUAUUUCUCGUUUUCUCGUGUUUGGUUCUCAUGUGCGUGCUUCGUGUUUCCCCUUAUUUAUUUUCCGUAUUUCGUGUCGAUACUCUUAAUUUCUCGUGCUUGUCAUGCUUGUCCUGCAUUUGAUUAAAAAGUAAACCGGCUCUAAUUCAAAGUCAGCCGGGAUAUUAUUUAAAUUAUGCAAUUCUAUGUUAAAUACAUGUAUGGAACGUAAUAGAGUCCAUC
This 290-nucleotide long non-coding RNA is filed under the name Mytilus galloprovincialis (Mediterranean mussel). The record is from RNAcentral. Lineage: Eukaryota; Metazoa; Mollusca; Bivalvia; Mytilida; Mytilidae.